Molecule: ribosomal RNA, 438 nt
Filed under: Streptomyces spiroverticillatus
Lineage: Bacteria; Bacillati; Actinomycetota; Actinomycetes; Kitasatosporales; Streptomycetaceae
Description: bacterial SSU rRNA
Rfam family: Bacterial small subunit ribosomal RNA
Source: RNAcentral
UUUGAANNNUGGCUCAGGACGAACGCUGGCGGCGUGCUUAACACAUGCAAGUCGAACGAUGAAGCCCUUCGGGGUGGAUUAGUGGCGAACGGGUGAGUAACACGUGGGCAAUCUGCCCUUCACUCUGGGACAAGCCCUGGAAACGGGGUCUAAUACCGGAUAACACUCCUGCCUGCAUGGGCGGGGGUUAAAAGCUCCGGCGGUGAAGGAUGAGCCCGCGGCCUAUCAGCUUGUUGGUGAGGUAGUGGCUCACCAAGGCGACGACGGGUAGCCGGCCUGAGAGGGCGACCGGCCACACUGGGACUGAGACACGGCCCAGACUCCUACGGGAGGCAGCAGUGGGGAAUAUUGCACAAUGGGCGAAAGCCUGAUGCAGCGACGCCGCGUGAGGGAUGACGGCCUUCGGGUUGUAAACCUCUUUCAGCAGGGAAGAAGCGA